CGUAGGGGGCAAGCGUUGUCCGGAUUUAUUGGGCGUAAAGAGCGUGUAGGCGGCUUUACAGGUCCGUUGUGAAAACUCGAGGCUCAACCUCGAGACGCCGGUGGAAACCGUAAAGCUAGAGUCCGGAAGAGGAGGGUGGAAUUCCUGGUGUAGCGGUGAAAUGCGCAGAUAUCAGGAAGAACACCCGUGGCGAAGGCGGCUCUCUGGGACGGUACUGACGCUGAGACGCGAAAGCGUGGGGAGCGAACAGGAUUAGAUACCCUGGUAGUCCACGCCGUAAACGAUGGGUGCUAGGUGUGGGCGGUGUCGACUCCGUCCGUGCCGAAGCUAACGCAUUAAGCACCCCGCCUGGGGAGUACGGCCGCAAGGCUA
Molecule: ribosomal RNA, 372 nt
Filed under: uncultured organism
Description: bacterial SSU rRNA
Rfam family: Bacterial small subunit ribosomal RNA
Source: RNAcentral